GGCCAGCGCUGUUCUCGGAUCACGAUUCGGCUCAGUGUUUGGUCAUCCGUAUGGGAAGCUAACUCGGCCUUCACUGGUCGGUUAGUGGAUCAUACACUUUACUUUGAAAAAAUUAGAGUGUUUCAGGCAGGCAAUUGCUUGGAUACUUCAGCAUGGAAUAAUGGAAUAGGACUUUGACCUAUUUGUUGGUUUCUUGAGGUCAAGGUA
This 207-nucleotide ribosomal RNA is filed under the name uncultured fungus. RNAcentral describes it as "partial small subunit ribosomal RNA". The stretch from base 82 to 207 matches the Rfam family "Eukaryotic small subunit ribosomal RNA", at positions 735 to 865 of the family's 1831-position model. Lineage: Eukaryota; Fungi. The record is from RNAcentral.